AGAGUUUGAUUCUGGCUCAGGACGAACGCUGGCGGCGUGCUUAACACAUGCAAGUCGAACGGACCAUUUGCAACGUUUGUUGUGGGUGGUUAGUGGCGGACGGGUGAGUAACACGUGAGUAACCUGCCCCUUGGUUUUUUGGGAUAACUGCUUGAAAGGGUGGCUAAUACCGAUGGUGCGGUUGGUGUCGCAUGACAUUGAUCGGGAAGAACAGUCUUUAUUGGUUGUUUGGUUGGGGAUGGGCUCGCAGCCUAUUAGUUUGUUGGUGGGGUGAUGGCUUACCAAGGCUUUGACGGGUAGCCGGCCUGAGAGGGUGGUCGGUCACAUUGGGACUGAGAUACGGCCCAGACUCCUACGGGAGGCAGCAGUGGGGAAUAUUGCACAAUGAACGGAAGUUUGAUGCAGCGACGCCGUGUGAGGGAUGAAGGCCUUUGGGUUGUAAACCUUUUUCGCUUUUGACCAAGGCACAGGUUUGGCCUGUGUUGAGGGUAGGGGGUAAAUGAAGCUCCGGCUAACUACGUGCCAGCAGCCGCGGUAAUACGUAGGGAGCGAGCGUUGUCCGGAUUUAUUGGGCGUAAAGGGCUUGUAGGUGGUGUGUCGCGUCUGUCGUGAAAUUCCAUGGCUUAACUGUGGGAGUGCGGUGGGUACGGGCAUGCUUGAGUGCGGUAGGGGAGACUGGAAUUCUUGGUGUAGCGGUGGAAUGCGCAGAUAUCAGGAGGAACACCGGUGGCGAAGGCGGGUCUCUGGGCCGUUACUGACGCUGAGGAGCGAAAGCGUGGGGAGCGAACAGGAUUAGAUACCCUGGUAGUCCACGCUGUAAACGUUG
Molecule: ribosomal RNA, 826 nt
Filed under: uncultured bacterium
Lineage: Bacteria
Description: bacterial SSU rRNA
Rfam family: Bacterial small subunit ribosomal RNA
Source: RNAcentral